UUAAUUGCAUUUGAUAUUUUAUAUUAAAAAGCCAGUGUCUAAGAUGGAGUUGAUAGUUAUAGGGAUUAUCGAUUCGGUGGAACGGCGGUUGUGAAGAAGGUGAAUAUCCAUACAGGGUAAGAGGAGAAAAAGAGUUUUAUAUAUGUUUAAGCGUCAAAAAAGGAGGUAGAAAAGAAACAUCGCAAAUGACUUCAUUAGUAUGUAGCACGAAGGGCGCGAAAAUAGGCGAAGAAUUGGG
Molecule: non-coding RNA, 238 nt
Organism: Cinara cedri
Lineage: Eukaryota; Metazoa; Arthropoda; Insecta; Hemiptera; Aphididae
Source: the annotation of a GenBank genome assembly